AGUCAGUCCACUGCUGGAUGAGAUCCUCCUCAUGCCUUGCGGAUUGUGGGUUAUGUGACCAUACUUCACCACACUGAUAAUUUUGAGUUGAAGGUGGUGAGCGUAGACAUGGGGACAUUAAGGUAAAAGCCAUCACUCGCAGUUAUGCGAUAUACUAAUCCACCAAUCAACAGCACACAAGCUAAUUCCAUCACUACCAUAUCCGUGGUAGAUCACAAACGCGUUUUCUUCCUUGGAUGUGAAUCUGUUGCUCGUCUUGACCACUAGCCACCUUCCCAUUAAUUUGCACCAGCACUCAGAAUGCUGCCAUUAACAAGCAAGGGAAUGUCUCCUCCUUAUUCUGCGGAAACAGGACGAUGACGGCUUCAUUUCGUUUAACGAAUACCGGGACUUCUUGGAAAUGAACGGUGUGGAUCAAGACUGCAGCAGUGUGGACACAAGCAAAGAUGGCAAGAUCUCUUUCGAAGAGUUCUCUGAAUUCUACAAGAAGGACUCUGACAAGCAGAAGGAGAAGCUGAAGCUGAAAAAGUGAACUCCAAGGACAUGCCUGUGGGGUGAAAGGGUUGCUUUUAGUUUGUUAGGCUUCCACUCCUUGCUUCUUAAUCAUCAUGACCAGUGUCAACCCUACUACUAAGAAUAGGGCAUGUAAUGAUGUAUUAAUUCAUGAAAAUCAAUCCGUACUCUCUCAUUCGUGCGUACAAUCAGCUGUGCAAUAAUUCGUCAUUCAAAUGGUAUUGAAUAUUAUCUGCAAACAUUACCGUUAUGCUGAGCAAAUUUAAUGGCACAAAUGAGAUGAAAUACAUUACAAAUAAGACCUAAAAAAGGAAUAGAUUCUUGAACAUAAUAGAGAGAAUUGUGACAUUUCACUGAAUCAGAGGAUAAUCUUUACAUGCCUAACAAAAAAAGUACUGCUACCAUUUAUAGCUAUUACUACUGUAUUUGACACUACUGCUAAUAGCACUACCACUAAGACUCCAUUGAAAUGUACUUUUAUUACAAAGCAUUUCAGUAAUAUUUCAGAUGUACUGUGCUGUGCGACGUACUGGCACCAUGAUCGAAAAUAGCGCACUGAAACAAACUUCAACGAGGCAUAAUGCAUCCAUUCACUAUGGAAUAAACACCUAAGUGCAGUACACGUACUCAUAAAUACCAGUCACAGAUCACUCUUGAACAACACUACUGUCAGAAUGCUGGACGUGGCUUGGUAACCUGAAAGGCAGCUGUGGUCAGAAUGCAAACGUGGUUCUUUCUACAAAUGCAGCCCAGCGUUCUGAUGGAUUGUUUUUUUCAUUUGCAUUGAAAUAAACCCAGCCUUGCUUAAAUAAAAG
Non-coding RNA from Petromyzon marinus (sea lamprey), 1328 nucleotides. The record is from RefSeq and is a predicted model, not a curated record. NCBI's taxonomy places the organism in Eukaryota, Metazoa, Chordata, Hyperoartia, Petromyzontiformes, Petromyzontidae.